CAGCCCUAAACGAUGCGCGUUAGGUGUAUCGGUGACCACGAGUCACCGAGGUGCCGAAGGGAAACCGUGAAACGUGCCGCCUGGGAAGUACGGUCGCAAGGCUGGAACUUAAAGGAAUUGGCGGGGGAGCACCACAACGGGUGGAGCCUGCGGUUUAAUUGGACUCAACGCCGGGAAGCUCACCGGAUAAGACAGCGGAAUGAUUGCCGGGCUGAAGACCCUGCAUGACCAGCUGAGAGGAGGUGCAUGGCGUAGUCGUGU
Molecule: ribosomal RNA, 261 nt
Filed under: uncultured archaeon
Lineage: Archaea
Description: partial 16S ribosomal RNA
Rfam family: Archaeal small subunit ribosomal RNA
Source: RNAcentral